This 429-nucleotide ribosomal RNA is filed under the name Pseudomonadota bacterium. RNAcentral describes it as "Proteobacteria bacterium partial 16S ribosomal RNA". It matches the Rfam family "Bacterial small subunit ribosomal RNA", at positions 355 to 776 of the family's 1533-position model. Lineage: Bacteria; Pseudomonadati; Pseudomonadota. The record is from RNAcentral.
UGGGGAAUAUUGGACAAUGGGCGAAAGCCUGAUCCAGCCAUGCCGCGUGUGUGAAGAAGGUCUUCGGAUUGUAAAGCACUUUAAGUUGGGAGGAAGGGCAGUAAGCGAAUACCUUGCUGUUUUGACGUUACCGACAGAAUAAGCACCGGCUAACUCUGUGCCAGCAGCCGCGGUAAUACAGAGGGUGCAAGCGUUAAUCGGAAUUACUGGGCGUAAAGCGCGCGUAGGUGGUUCGUUAAGUUGAAUGUGAAAGCCCCGGGCUCAACCUGGGAACUGCAUCCAAAACUGGCGAGCUAGAGUAGGGCAGAGGGUGGUGGAAUUUCCUGUGUAGCAGUGAAAUGCGUGGAUAUAGGAAGGAACACCAGUGGCGAAGGCGACCACCUGGGCUCAUACUGACACUGAGGUGCGAAAGCGUGGGGAGCAAACAGG